This 778-nucleotide ribosomal RNA is filed under the name Faucicola osloensis. Its description in RNAcentral is "bacterial SSU rRNA". It matches the Rfam family "Bacterial small subunit ribosomal RNA", at positions 81 to 860 of the family's 1533-position model. Lineage: Bacteria; Pseudomonadati; Pseudomonadota; Gammaproteobacteria; Moraxellales; Moraxellaceae. The record is from RNAcentral.
GCUAGAGAAGAUUAGUGGCGGACGGGUGAGUAACAUUUAGGAAUCUGCCUAGUAGUGGGGGAUAGCUCGGGGAAACUCGAAUUAAUACCGCAUACGACCUACGGGUGAAAGGGGGCGCAAGCUCUUGCUAUUAGAUGAGCCUAAAUCAGAUUAGCUAGUUGGUGGGGUAAAGGCCCACCAAGGCGACGAUCUGUAACUGGUCUGAGAGGAUGAUCAGUCACACCGGAACUGAGACACGGUCCGGACUCCUACGGGAGGCAGCAGUGGGGAAUAUUGGACAAUGGGGGCAACCCUGAUCCAGCCAUGCCGCGUGUGUGAAGAAGGCCUUUUGGUUGUAAAGCACUUUAAGCAGGGAGGAGAGGCUAAUGGUUAAUACCCAUUAGAUUAGACGUUACCUGCAGAAUAAGCACCGGCUAACUCUGUGCCAGCAGCCGCGGUAAUACAGAGGGUGCGAGCGUUAAUCGGAAUUACUGGGCGUAAAGCGAGUGUAGGUGGCUCAUUAAGUCACAUGUGAAAUCCCCGGGCUUAACCUGGGAACUGCAUGUGAUACUGGUGGUGCUAGAAUAUGUGAGAGGGAAGUAGAAUUCCAGGUGUAGCGGUGAAAUGCGUAGAGAUCUGGAGGAAUACCGAUGGCGAAGGCAGCUUCCUGGCAUAAUAUUGACACUGAGAUUCGAAAGCGUGGGUAGCAAACAGGAUUAGAUACCCUGGUAGUCCACGCCGUAAACGAUGUCUACUAGCCGUUGGGGUCCUUGAGACUUUAGUGGCGCAGUUAACGCGA